UUUAUUUACUUACUUACUUACUUUAUUUAUUUAUUUAUUUAUUUAUUUAUUUAUUUAUUUAUUUAUUUUUUCAUUGUUCUCUUUCCUAGGAAGAAAUCCUUAGAAUCACGAGAGGAAGAGUGCAGAGGGGAUAGCGAGCCCGGCCUCUUACCUUCACAGGUGACAUCUGAGGUCCCGAGGCAGGAGAUGGUUCCGGCGGCUCAGGACCCCCGUCGGAGGACAAGCGUUAGUAACCAGAGGUCAAACUUUGAGAUUCCACUGGGUUGAAGUCGCUAUCCGAGGACCUGGCAGAGAAACCGCUGGGUAACAGUGCCCAUGGAAUUGCAAGCUACUGUGGGAUGAUUCAAAUGAUUUAGAAAACUCGAUUCUGGACUGGAGUGGAAUGUUUUUUUCUCCUAUCCGAGUUUUUGUGACUGCGGUAUCAGAGCAGGAGAAUAUCGGUUUCCAUGUGGGGAA
RNAcentral lists this long non-coding RNA (456 nucleotides) under Vulpes vulpes (red fox). RNAcentral describes it as "lncRNA (ENSVVUG00000000284.1)". The record is from RNAcentral. Lineage: Eukaryota; Metazoa; Chordata; Mammalia; Carnivora; Canidae.